RNAcentral lists this long non-coding RNA (270 nucleotides) under Homo sapiens (human). Its description in RNAcentral is "HSALNT0182671". Lineage: Eukaryota; Metazoa; Chordata; Mammalia; Primates; Hominidae. The record is from RNAcentral.
GCAGGUUGAGCAAUGCAGGUUGAGAAAGCAAAGAGGUGAGCAAGGCAGGUUGAGAAAGCUCCAUGCACACUGUCUGCAGAGAUAAUUUUUGGGGAUAUCCAAUGGCAAUAAAAGGGUGGCACUGUGUCAGUGAAUGCAAGAAGAUCUCGGGGCAGUACAGGCAAGGAAAGGAGAAAACAUGGACAGCAGCACCCUGAACAUUGAUGGCUCAUUUCUGCGUUGAAGGUAAAGCAAUAAUUGAAGACAAACUCAUGCCAAUCACAAUGAUAU